AUUGAACGCUGGCGGCAUGCCCUACACAUGCAAGUCGAACGGCAGCACGGACUUCGGUCUGGUGGCGAGUGGCGAACGGGUGAGUAACAUAUCGGAACAUACCCUAGAGUGGGGAUAACGUAGCGAAAGUUACGCUAAUACCGCAUACGAUCUAAGGAUGAAAGUGGGGGAUCUUCGGACCUCAUGCUCAUGGAUGGCCGAUAUCUGAUUAGCUAGUUGGUGAGGUAAAGGCUCACCAAGGCGACGAUCAGUAGCUGGUUUGAGAGAACGACCAGCCACACUGGAACUGAGACACGGUCCAGACUCCUACGGAGGCAGCAGUGGGGAAUUUUGGACAAUGGGGGCAACCCCUGAUCCAGCAAUGCCGCGUGAGUGAAGAA
RNAcentral lists this ribosomal RNA (380 nucleotides) under uncultured bacterium. RNAcentral describes it as "bacterial SSU rRNA". It matches the Rfam family "Bacterial small subunit ribosomal RNA", at positions 30 to 412 of the family's 1533-position model. The record is from RNAcentral.